This 476-nucleotide ribosomal RNA is filed under the name uncultured bacterium. Its description in RNAcentral is "bacterial SSU rRNA". It matches the Rfam family "Bacterial small subunit ribosomal RNA", at positions 27 to 518 of the family's 1533-position model. The record is from RNAcentral.
GGACGAACGCUGGCGGCGUGCCUAACACGAUGCAAGUCGAGCGAGGAGAUCCUUCGGGAUGAUCCUAGCGGCGGACGGGUGAGUAACACGUGGGCAACCUGCCUCAUAGAGAGGAAUAGCCUUCCGAAAGGGAGAUUAAGUACCUCAUAACAUUGCAGUUUCGCAUGGAACAGCAAUUAAAGGAGUAAUCCGCUAUGAGAUGGGCCCGCGGCGCAUUAGCUAGUUGGUGAGGUAACGGCUCACCAAGGCGACGAUGCGUAGCCGACCUGAGAGGUGAUCGGCCACAUUGGGACUGAGACACGGCCCAGACUCCUACGGGAGGCAGCAGUGGGGAAUAUUGCACGAAUGGGGGAAACCCUGAUGCAGCCAACGCCGCGUGAGUGAUGACGGUCUUCGGAUUGUAAAGCUCUGUCUUCAGGGACGAUAAUGACGGUACCUGAGGAGGAAGCCACGGCUAACUACGUGCCAGCAGCCGC